Molecule: ribosomal RNA, 497 nt
Filed under: uncultured bacterium
Lineage: Bacteria
Description: partial 16S ribosomal RNA
Rfam family: Bacterial small subunit ribosomal RNA
Source: RNAcentral
GAUGAACGCUGGCGGCGUGCCUAAUACAUGCAAGUCGAGCGAACAGACGAGGAGCUUGCUCCUCUGACGUUAGCGGCGGACGGGUGAGUAACACGUGGAUAACCUACCUAUAAGACUGGGAUAACUUCGGGAAACCGGAGCUAAUACCGGAUAAUAUAUUGAACCGCAUGGUUCAAUAGUGAAAGACGGUUUUGCUGUCACUUAUAGAUGGAUCCGCGCCGCAUUAGCUAGUUGGUAAGGUAACGGCUUACCAAGGCGACGAUGCGUAGCCGACCUGAGAGGGGGAUCGGCCACACUGGAACGGGGACACGGUCCAGACUCCUACGGGAGGAGGAGGUAGGGAAUCUUCCGCAAUGGGCGAAAGCCUGACGGAGCAACGCCGCGUGAGUGAUGAAGGUCUUCGGAUCGUAAAACUCUGUAAUUAGGGAAGAACAAAUGUGUAAGUAACUAUGCACGUCUUGACGGUACCUAAUCAGAAAGCCACGGCUAACUACGUG